GAGGGAAACCGAGUCUUAAUUGGGCGUUAAGUUGCAGGGUAUAGACCCGAAACCCGGUGAUCUAGCCAUGGGCAGGUUGAAGGUUGGGUAACACUAACUGGAGGACCGAACCGACUAAUGUUGAAAAAUUAGCGGAUGACCUGUGGCUGGGGGUGAAAGGCCAAUCAAACCGGGAGAUAGCUGGUUCUCCCCGAAAGCUAUUUAGGUAGCGCCUCGUGAAUUCAUCUCCGGGGGUAGAGCACUGUUUCGGCUAGGGGGCCAUCCCGGCUUACCAACCCGAUGCAAACUGCGAAUACCGGAGAAUGUUAUCACGGGAGACACACGGCGGGUGCUAACGUCCGUCGUGAAGAGGGAAACAACCCAGACCGCCAGCUAAGGUCCCAAAGUCAUGGUUAAGUGGGAAACGAUGUGGGAAGGCCCAGACAGCCAGGAUGUUGGCUUAGAAGCAGCCAUCAUUUAAAGAAAGCGUAAUAGCUCACUGGUCGAGUCGGCCUGCGCGGAAGAUGUAACGGGGCUAAACCAUGCACCGAAGCUGCGGCAGCGACACUCAGGUGUUGUUGGGUAGGGGAGCGUUCUGUAAGCCUGCGAAGGUGGCCUGUGAGGGUUGCUGGAGGUAUCAGAAGUGCGAAUGCUGACAUAAGUAACGAUAAAGCGGGUGAAAAGCCCGCUCGCCGGAAGACCAAGGGUUCCUGUCCAACGUUAAUCGGGGCAGGGUGAGUCGACCCCUAAGGCGAGGCCGAAAGGCGUAGUCGAUGGGAAACGGGUUAAUAUUCCCGUACUUGGUGUUACUGCGAAGGGGGGACGGAGAAGGCUAUGUUGGCCGGGCGACGGUUGUCCCGGUUUAAGCGUGUAGGUGUGUGUUCCAGGUAAAUCCGGUUCACUUUAACACUGAGGCGUGACGACGAGGCACUACGGUGCUGAAGCAACAAAUGCCCUGCUUCCAGGAAAAGCCUCUAAGCAUCAGGUAACAUCAAAUCGUACCCCAAACCGACACAGGUGGUCAGGUAGAGAAUACCAAGGCGCUUGAGAGAACUCGGGUGAAGGAACUAGGCAAAAUGGUGCCGUAACUUCGGGAGAAGGCACGCUGACACGUAGGUGAAGUGAUUUACUCACGGAGCUGAAGUCAGUCGAAGAUACCAGCUGGCUGCAACUGUUUAUUAAAAACACAGCACUGUGCAAACACGAAAGUGGACGUAUACGGUGUGACGCCUGCCCGGUGCCGGAAGGUUAAUUGAUGGGGUCAGCGCAAGCGAAGCUCCUGAUCGAAGCCCCGGUAAACGGCGGCCGUAACUAUAACGGUCCUAAGGUAGCGAAAUUCCUUGUCGGGUAAGUUCCGACCUGCACGAAUGGCGUAAUGAUGGCCAGGCUGUCUCCACCCGAGACUCAGUGAAAUUGAACUCGCUGUGAAGAUGCAGUGUACCCGCGGCAAGACGGAAAGACCCCGUGAACCUUUACUAUAGCUUGACACUGAACAUUGAGCCUUGAUGUGUAGGAUAGGUGGGAGGCUUUGAAGUGUGGACGCCAGUCUGCAUGGAGCCGACCUUGAAAUACCACCCUUUAAUGUUUGAUGUUCUAACGUGGACCCGU
RNAcentral lists this ribosomal RNA (1587 nucleotides) under Salmonella enterica. Its description in RNAcentral is "partial 23S ribosomal RNA". It matches the Rfam family "Bacterial large subunit ribosomal RNA", at positions 668 to 2236 of the family's 2925-position model. The record is from RNAcentral. Lineage: Bacteria; Pseudomonadati; Pseudomonadota; Gammaproteobacteria; Enterobacterales; Enterobacteriaceae.